Electrophorus electricus (electric eel) is the source of this 244-nucleotide ribozyme. It matches the Rfam family "Nuclear RNase P". From Rfam's summary of the family: Ribonuclease P (RNase P) is a ubiquitous endoribonuclease, found in archaea, bacteria and eukarya as well as chloroplasts and mitochondria. Its best characterised activity is the generation of mature 5'-ends of tRNAs by cleaving the 5'-leader elements of precursor-tRNAs. Cellular RNase Ps are ribonucleoproteins. The record is from Ensembl. Lineage: Eukaryota; Metazoa; Chordata; Actinopteri; Gymnotiformes; Gymnotidae.
UGUGUAUGGAACGUGAACCAGUGAAAUGGAAAAUAUUAAUAUCAAGGUAAAUAAAGCAGGUAUGUCCCUGAUGUCAUUAUACUCCUCCCCUGCAAUGCAAACUUAUUACCAUAUACCACACCCUCCACUGCAAAUGUCAAAGAUUUUCAUUUGGUUCUCGGCAAUAACACACUGUGGCAGCAGAGUUCAAUGUGUGAGCUGGAGUUCAACUCCAGAACCCAAUUCAGACUACUCUCCUUCCACA